UACGUAGGGAGCAAGCGUUGUCCGGAAUCAUUGGGCGUAAAGCGCGCGUAGGUGGCUUCAUAAGUCCGUUGCGAAAGUCAAAGGCUCAACCUUUGAAAGGCGAUGGAUACUGUGAAGCUAGAGUACGGAAGAGGCGAGUGGAAUUCCUGGUGUAGCGGUGGAAUGCGCAGAUAUCAGGAGGAACACCAAUAGCGAAGGCAGCUCGCUGGGACGUUACUGACACUGAGGCGCGAAAGCGUGGGGAGCGAACAGG
Molecule: ribosomal RNA, 253 nt
Filed under: uncultured bacterium
Lineage: Bacteria
Description: partial 16S ribosomal RNA
Rfam family: Bacterial small subunit ribosomal RNA
Source: RNAcentral